This 253-nucleotide ribosomal RNA is filed under the name uncultured bacterium. RNAcentral's name for it is "partial 16S ribosomal RNA". It matches the Rfam family "Bacterial small subunit ribosomal RNA", at positions 524 to 776 of the family's 1533-position model. The record is from RNAcentral.
UACGUAGGGGGCAAGCGUUGUCCGGAAUCAUUGGGCGUAAAGCGCGUGUAGGCGGCUUGGUAAGUCUGCUCUGAAAGCCCGGGGCUCAACCCCGGGAGGCGGGUGGAUACUGCUGAGCUCGAGUCCGGAAGAGGCGAGUGGAAUUCCUGGUGUAGCGGUGAAAUGCGCAGAUAUCAGGAGGAAUACCGGUGGCGAAAGCGACUCUCUGGACGGCAACUGACGCUGAGGCACGAAAGCGUGGGGAGCAAACAGG